CCAAUAGCGUAUAUUAAAGUUGUUGCAGUUAAAAAGCUCGUAGUUGAAUUUCGGGAUCAAGGGAUCGGUCAUGCCUUGGUAUGUACUGGUUUCAUUGGUUCUCACCUUCUAAAGAACCAUGAUGUCAUUCAUUUGAUGUUAUGGGGAAUUAGGACUGUUACCUUGAAAAAAUUAGAGUGUUUAAAGCAAGCUUACGCUUGAAUACAUUAGCAUGGAAUAAUGAAAUAGGACAUCAGAUUCUAUUUUGUUGGUUUCUAGGAUCGAUGUAAUGAUUAAUAGGGAUAGUUGGGGGCAUUAGUAUUCAAUUGUCAGAGGUGAAAUUCUUGGAUUUAUUGAAGACUGACUACUGCGAAAGCAUUUGCCAAGGAUGUUUUCAUUAAUCAAGAACGAAAGUUAGGGGAUCGAAGACGAUCAGAUACCGUCGUAGUCUUAACCAUAAACUAUGCCGACUAGGGAUCGGAUGAUGUUAAUUUUAUAAUGACUCAUUCGGCACCUUACG
Molecule: ribosomal RNA, 499 nt
Filed under: uncultured Glomeromycotina
Lineage: Eukaryota; Fungi; Glomeromycota
Description: partial small subunit ribosomal RNA
Rfam family: Eukaryotic small subunit ribosomal RNA
Source: RNAcentral